UACGUAGGGUGCGAGCGUUUGUCCGGAAUUAUUGGGCGUAAAGAGCUCGUAGGCGGUGUGUCACGUCGUUCGUGAAAACCUGCAGCUUAACUGUGGGCGUGCGGUCGAUACGGGCAUCACUGGAGUUCGGCAGGGGAGACUGGAAUUCCUGGUGAUAGCGGUGAAAUGCGCAGAUAUCAGGAGGAACACCGAUGGCGAAGGCAGCCCCCUGGGUUAACACUGACGCUCAUGCACGAAAGGCGUGGGGAGCGAACAGG
Molecule: ribosomal RNA, 257 nt
Filed under: uncultured bacterium
Lineage: Bacteria
Description: partial 16S ribosomal RNA
Rfam family: Bacterial small subunit ribosomal RNA
Source: RNAcentral